RNAcentral lists this ribosomal RNA (428 nucleotides) under uncultured bacterium. Its description in RNAcentral is "bacterial SSU rRNA". It matches the Rfam family "Bacterial small subunit ribosomal RNA", at positions 30 to 455 of the family's 1533-position model. The record is from RNAcentral.
AUUGAACGCUGGCGGUAUGCUUAACACAUGCAAGUCGAACGGUAACAGGCAAAGCUUGCUUUGCGCUGACGAGUGGCGGACGGGUGAGUAACGCGUGGGAAUCUACCUUUUAGUGGGGGAUAGCCCGGAGAAAUCCGGAUUAAUACCGCAUAAGCCCUACGGGGGAAAGCUGGGGAUCUUCGGACCUGGCGCUAUUAGAUGAGCCCGCGUUAGAUUAGCUAGUUGGUGGGGUAAAGGCCUACCAAGGCGACGAUCUAUAGCUGGUCUGAGAGGACGAUCAGCCACACUGGGACUGAGACACGGCCCAGACUCCUACGGGAGGCAGCAGUGGGGAAUAUUGCACAAUGGGCGCAAGCCUGAUGCAGCAAUACCGCGUGUGGAAGAAGGCCUGCGGGUUGUAAAGCACUUUCAAUCGUGAAGAAAUGUUC